GAUAAACGCUAGCGAUGGGCCUAACACAUGCAAGUCGAGGGGCAGCAUAGAGUAGCAAUACUUUGAUGGCGACCGGCGCACGGGUGAGUAACACGUAUGCAACCUACCUACAUCAGGGGAAUAACCCGGAGAAAUUCGGACUAAUACCGCAUAAUACAGGGAUGCCGCAUGGCAAUAUUUGUUAAAGAUUUAUCGGAUGUAGAUGGGCAUGCGUUCCAUUAGCUAGUUGGUAAGGUAACGGCUUACCAAGGCAACGAUGGAUAGGGGAACUGAGAGGUUUGUCCCCCACACUGGAACUGAGACACGGACCAGACUCCUACGGGAGGCAGCAGUGAGGAAUAUUGGUCAAUGGACGAGAGUCUGAACCAGCCAAAUCGCGUGAAGGAAGACUGCCCUACGGGUUGUAAACUUCUUUUGUACAGGAAUAAAAGACAUUACGUGUAAUGUAUUGCAUGUACUGUACGAAUAAGCAUCGGCUAACUCCGUGCCAGCCGCCGCCGUAA
This 503-nucleotide ribosomal RNA is filed under the name uncultured bacterium. Its description in RNAcentral is "partial 16S ribosomal RNA". It matches the Rfam family "Bacterial small subunit ribosomal RNA", at positions 28 to 523 of the family's 1533-position model. The record is from RNAcentral.